This is a long non-coding RNA of Salmo salar (Atlantic salmon), 796 nucleotides long. RefSeq annotates it as NADH dehydrogenase [ubiquinone] flavoprotein 2, mitochondrial. The record is from RefSeq and is a predicted model, not a curated record. Lineage: Eukaryota; Metazoa; Chordata; Actinopteri; Salmoniformes; Salmonidae.
GCAUCAAGGGAGAAGGAUGACGUCAGACAAGAUGUUCUCUCUAAUAGAGGUGGUGUCUCGGCGCCUGCGUUUACGCUCCCAUGGUCCAGAUCAACGACAACUACUACGAAGACCCGAGUCCAAAAGACAUCGAUCAGAUCAUUGAUGAGCUGAAAGCUGGGAACGUCCCUCCGCCUGGGCCUAGGAACGGGCGUUUCUCCUGCGAGCCAGCAGGAGGACUGACGAGUCUGUGUGAGCCUCCCCCUGGGCCUGGUUUUGGUGUCAGAGCUGAUCUAUAGAGACCUACAGUGUAUUUCAACACCUCCCUAGCCCCUAUAUAGUGCACUUCCGAAGCCCAUAGAGUUCUAGAUCAAAGUAGUGCACUAUAUCGGAUGCCUUUUAAUAUAUAUACAAUAGUGUGUAUAUAUAUAUAUAUAUGAACUGUACUGUUCAGGGGAACACCUAACCUCACAGUGGAUAUAAUGUAAUAUUGUAAAUAAAAUGUCAAUGUACUUGUGCUCAUGGGUGUCAAACUGUCUCCUUGUGUGUCAAUUUAGAUAAGACACUAAUUAUCUGUCUCAAAGAAAUCUAGGUUGAUACAGUAUUUCUAUUAGAAAGCGUUUACUACACCACACUGUCAACAUGCAGAUCAAGGAACUACUAAUCAGUUUAAAAGUACAAAAAGAAAACUGCCAGAGAGAAUAGGAUUUCAUAUGUGAAUUUGUUAAAAAGUUGCCACAAGCCUCACACAGAAAUUAAUUCUUAUUAAGAGCAUCAAUUAAUGGGGUAAAAUGCAUACAGUACCAGUCAAAAGUUG